This 712-nucleotide long non-coding RNA is filed under the name Mytilus galloprovincialis (Mediterranean mussel). The record is from RNAcentral. Lineage: Eukaryota; Metazoa; Mollusca; Bivalvia; Mytilida; Mytilidae.
CAAAUAUGUCGCCUUUUCUUCAUUGUCUGUGACACAAUGAUAAUUUAAAGAAGGAUUGGAAAAACAAUUGAAAUCUGAGAUCUAAGAAAAUAUUUCUUUAUAUAGUCCAAGACUUAAAAAGAAUCCAGUUCAUCAGUUUAGUUCAACUAUUAUUUAUGAGUCUAUAGAUUUAGAAUUAUUUCGAGUGUGGGAAGUUUGAGACUAGGUAACCCAGGCAGCCAUAGAAGAGGGUAAUGAACUCUGUGGUUAGAAAAUAUGUGAAAUCAACUAUUUACAAAACUAUGAAUUGUUCGAAAUGCUAAAAAUUUAUUGACCCCAGGAGUAGAUUAUUUGGCAAAACCUUUCAGAAUUUGUGGUCUAUUAUUAUGCUCUUCAACUUCAUACUUUAUUUAGCUAUUUAAUAACACUUUUUGAUUGAAGCGUCAAUGAUGACCCUAUAUUGUAGAGAAAAAUCUCGUCUGGUGUACAACAUGUUUAGGCCUGUAAUCUUUGAUGAAGUAUUGGCAUGUAUUUGGGAUUUCAUUUUUAUUCAUUUGGAAAGAUUUUUAUUUUUAUUUUGUGGGUAACAUAGAUGAAUCAGAAAUUAAAGUGUUGAGCAUACUAUACACAUAUAUAUGUUUUUACCAAGAUAUGUCGUUUUUCACCAGAAAAAAAACAGUACCAAUUAAUCAAUCUACGAGAAUUGGUAUCCAAGAAAAAUAAGAAAAUCCAC